This 2988-nucleotide long non-coding RNA is filed under the name Sorghum bicolor (sorghum). RNAcentral's name for it is "long non-coding RNA (SBIC_LNC018396)". Lineage: Eukaryota; Viridiplantae; Streptophyta; Magnoliopsida; Poales; Poaceae. The record is from RNAcentral.
GGACACUUAAUCUUCAAGCAGAUCGGUGUUCAUGGUACCUUCAAGGAAACUAUUGUUCCCCGGUGUCAUUGUUUCUGGCAGCUUCAGUAAGAUUGUUUUGUCCAACUUGAUCACUUGUUAACAGGCUUCUUAAACUGGCAAUUUCUAUGGACGCAGCAUAAACUGUCUCACCAGCAUCCAAAAUUAGAUGAUAAUAAGGUAAAGUAUUAGCAAAGAAAACUAGUUAACAGGAUGCUUAAUCUUCAACAGAUCAGUGUCCACGCAACCUUCAAGCAAAUUAAAAUUAAUGUUCUGCAUGUGGCCAUUGUCUCUGGAAAAUUCAGUACAAUUAUUCUCUCCCACUUGAUUGCUCAUGAUACCUUGAGGCAAAUUAAUGCUCCCCAAGUUGUCAUUGUCCCUGGUAGCUUCAGCAUAACCAUUCUGCCUGACUUGAUCACUUGUUAACAGGCUGCCUAAACCAGAGGUUCCUAAGUAUGCAUGGUAAGCUAUUUCACUAGUACACAAAGUAAACCACAAAAAGGUACGGUUCAGUAUUGGCCCUCGAUCUCCCUGCACAGGUGAGCAGCAAGCUCACCUCCACACCCACACACUCACUCGGCUAGAGGUAGAAGAAAGGGUGGGCACAGCACACACCAUUCUAUUUUGGGUACUAUUAGGAAUUGGUCCUUGAGGAGCUGCCUUUUGGACUUGUGUUCCAGUGCUUUGUAAGAUAAUCUGCUGCACUCUCCCUUUACAUUUUAAGUGCACAGUGCACAUCCAGUAGUAGUAGAUGCACCCUGCUGCACCCACUUACUUUUUAAGCGCAUAGUAGCAGUAGCAGGUGCAUUAAGUUUUCUAUAUAUCAGGUUGUUUAGUAAAUGGAAAAAGUAGUUUAGUUCAGCCACAUUUCCAGAGCAGCAGAGCUGCUGCUUGUGGUGUGUACGUGCUGUGCUCAUCUCCUUCCUCUAGCCAAGUGUGUGUGUGUGUGUGUGUGUGUGUGCGCGCGCGCGUGUGUGUGUGUGGAGGUGAGCUAGUAGCUCACCUGUACAGGGAGAUCGAGGGACAACAAAUGGUGUCCGAGCCGAGGUUGCCACUGUGGUUGAUUCCGUGAGAUGCCGGAUGAUGCUGGUUUGGCGGUGGUACUCAUCUAAAUAACUUUUCAUGUAACCUCUAUCAGCAAUCAAAAAAGUAUGUGUCAUUAGACAAUAGCGCUGGUUGAAACAAAUACUCAACCCAUCAGCAUGCCCAUCAAUUCUUUUGUGAGCAAAGGCUCUCCAGCCCUGCGCUUGGUAAUCAGGAAGAUCCUUCAACCACUGGGGAACCUCAAACUCUUUGUUCUGUUGUUCCAUUGCAACCUCUUCUUCUUGUGCAUCUAGUACAGGAGGAGGUAUUUCGUCAACCGGGACAUCAAAGUCACAUAGUACACCCAAUAUUAUGAUACAACACAAAACAAAAUAUUUAGAGAUUGGAAUCUAAAGCGUCAUAUCAUAUUCCCAAACUUAUGAUAUGCAGACAAAUGGAAUUUUUUUGUAAAUGUAGAUUGGAAUCCAAGCAAGUGCACACACACCCACACGCACACGACGCACACAACGCACACGCACACACACACACACACACACACACACACACACACACACUAGAUUGCCAACGAAAAAUGCUUUGAACUAAUGGAUACUAAAGACCACAGGAGUGUGACAAAAAUACGCCAAGCAGAAGGGUGGAGAAGACAUUUAAUGCCAAUAGAAAAGAUGAGCGAGUAAACAAGUUGUCAAAUUGUGCUGCUUAAUCACAAAUAUCUUAAAUGAUGUCUUUCUCUUCACUGUAUUGAAUGUUUCAAGGUAACAAAAUUAGUACUUCCCUUGAAAGCUCCAAUAUUAGAAAAUCUAGCUUAUAAGGAAUCUUUAGUGGAUGGGGUUUUUGCUAUACUUACACUCCCCCCCCCCCCCCCCCCCCCCAAAGAAAUUCGACAGCCUCCAAGAACUUUUCGUGGACCUCAAUGAUCCGUGUGAUUCGAUUCCGCUUUUUGGCUCUUCAUAUCCAUUGCUUUCAGGAUCGGAUAAACUGUCGCUCUCUAGGAUAAGCACUUCCUUGGACUUUUCAGUAGAUGAUGAAACCAUUCUAUUUUGGGUACUAUUAGGAAUUGGUCCUUGAGGAGCUGCCUUUUGGACCUGUGUUCCAGUGCUUUGUAAGAUAAUCUGCUGCACUCUCCCUUUACAUUUUAAGUGCACAGUGCACAUCCAGUAGCAGUAGAUGCACCCUGCUGCACCCACUUACUUUUUAAGCGCAUAGUAGCAGUAGCCGGUGCAUUAAGUUUUCUAUAUAUCAGGUUGUUUAGUAAAUGGAAAAAGUAGUUUAGUUCAGCCACAUUUCCAGAGCAGCAGAGCUGCUGCUUGUGGUGUGCAUGUGCUGUGCUCAUCUUCUUCCUCUAUCCGAAUGUGUGUGUGUGUGUGUGUGUGUGUGUGCAUGCAGGAGAGCUAGUAGCUCACCUGUACAGGGAGAUCGAGGGACAACAAGUGGUGUCUGAGCCAAGGUUGCCACUGCGGUUGAUUCCGUGAGAUGCCGGAUGACGCUGGUUUGGCGGUGGUACUCAUCUAAAUAACUCCUCAUGUAACUUCUAUCAGCAAUCAAAAAAGUAUGUGUCAUUAGACAAUAGCACUGGUUGAAAGAAAUACUCAACCCAUCAGCAUGCCCAUCAAUUCUUUUGUGAGCAAAGGCUCUAAAGUCCUGCGCUUGGUAACCAGGAAGAUCCGUCAACCACUGGGGAACCUCAACCUCUUUGUUCCGUUGUUCCAUUGCAACCUCUUCUUCUUGUGCAUCUAGUACAGGAGGUAUUUCGUCAACCGGGACAUCAAAGUCACAUAGUACACCCAAUAUUAUGAUACACCACAAAAUAGAAUAUUUAGAAAUUGGAAUCUAAAGCGUCAUAUCAUAUUCCCAAACUUAUGAUAUGCAAAGAAAUGGAAUAUUUUUAUAAAUGUAGAUUGGAAUCCAAGCAAGCACACACACACC